GCGGGUGUGGCGAAAUUGGCAGACGCGAUAGACUUAGGAUCUAUUGCCGAGAGGCGUGGGGGUUCAAGUCCCUUCACCCGCACCA
Molecule: transfer RNA, 85 nt
Filed under: bacterium
Lineage: Bacteria
Also listed under: 2 other names
Description: tRNA-Leu
Rfam family: tRNA
About the family: Transfer RNA (tRNA) molecules are approximately 80 nucleotides in length. Their secondary structure includes four short double-helical elements and three loops (D, anti-codon, and T loops).
Source: RNAcentral